Molecule: ribosomal RNA, 1556 nt
Filed under: Rhizophagus intraradices
Lineage: Eukaryota; Fungi; Glomeromycota; Glomeromycetes; Glomerales; Glomeraceae
Description: eukaryotic LSU rRNA
Rfam family: Eukaryotic large subunit ribosomal RNA (bases 715-1556)
Source: RNAcentral
UAUUGCUCUUCAACGAGGAAUCCCUAGUAAGCACAAGUCAUCAGCUUGUGUUGAUUACGUCCCUGCCCUUUGUACACACCGCCCGUCGCUACUACCGAUUGAAUGGCUUAGUGAGACCUCCGGAUUGGCAUUCAGAAGUUGGAAACAACAUCUGUCUGCUGAGAAAUUGUUCAAACUUGGUCAUUUAGAGGAAGUAAAAGUCGUAACAAGGUUUCCGUAGGUGAACCUGCGGAAGGAUCAUUACCAAUCUUAGCGGGCCUGGUCUUUGUCGACCAUGGUUUCGCGAAAAUCGUAUUUAAAACCCCACUCUUAUAUAAGAUGAAUCAUUUUAUUUGUAAUAAUAAAUAAAGAUCACUUUCAACAACGGAUCUCUUGGCUCUCGCAUCGAUGAAGAACGUAGCGAAGUGCGAUAAGUAGUGUGAAUUGCAGAAUUCCGUGAAUCAUCGAGUCUUUGAACGCAAAUUGCACUCCCUGGCAUCCCGGGGAGUAUGCCUGUUUGAGGGUCAGUAAAAUUAAAAUCGGUACGUUGCAUUUUUUUGUAACGUCUCCGGAGUUUGGGUUAUCUUAGCUCUGAGGUUAAGAGGCUUAAAAUUGACAUCAUUUCGCGCACUUUUAGACGUACAUAAAUUAAUUUUUAUUCGUCUAACCUGGUGCCCGAAGGUUAUUAGAUGCGACCAUAUUUCGUGGUCUCGUGUCUAUAAUUUUAUCAUGAUUUGACCUCAAAUCAGGUAGGAGUACCCGCUGAACUUAAGCAUAUCAAUAAGCGGAGGAAAAGAAAAUAACAAUGAUUCCCCUAGUAACUGCGAGUGAAGAGGGACAAGCUCAAAUUUUAAAUCUGUUAGGUUUACCUAACCGAGUUGUAAUUUGAAGAGGCGUUUUCUGUGUUUCUGACCAGCCCAAGUCCUUUGGGAUAGGGCAUCAUGGAGGGUGAGAAUCCCGUUCGGUUGAUCAGAUUCGCUUUACGAUACGUCAUCUAAGAGUCAAGUUGUUUGGGAUUGCAGCUUAAAAUGGGAGGUAAAUUUCUCCUAAGGCUAAAUAACGGCGAGAGACCGAUAGCGAACAAGUACCGUGAGGGAAAGAUGAAAAGAACUUUGAAAAGAGAGUUAAACAGUACGUGAAAUUGUUGAAAGGGAAACGAUUGAAGCCAGUCGUACCGGCGGGUAAUCAGCCUUUCGGGUAUGAUUCUGUGGAGUGUGAGGAGCUAAACACCUUCAUGCCUGCAUAUUCGUGCUCUUGGGUGUACUUGCUCGUGUGGUGGGUUAACAUCAAUUUCGGAUACCAUAAAAUGGCUGGAGGAAUGUAGCUUCGAUCUCGUAUUGAAGUGUUAUAGCCUUCGGUAGAUGUGGUGAUCGGGAUUGAGGAUUGCAACGGAUACCCUUCGGGGCUACCUGUCUGAUCUCUGAUCGUUGCUCUGGUGCCGAAAGCGUGCUUACGGUUAUCAAAGUCGAUGGUCAAUAGGUUAGAACGGGUUAAAUUCGUUAAGGAUGUUGACGUAAUGGCUUUAAACGACCCGUCUUGAAACACGGACCAAGGAGUCUAACAUGUAUGCGAGUGUU